CAUGCUAUAUAUGUGUGUGUGUAUGUGCAUAUACGGGUAUACACGUAUACACACACACACACACACACACACAAACACGCAAAUUCA
This 87-nucleotide microRNA precursor is filed under the name Notamacropus eugenii (tammar wallaby). RNAcentral describes it as "miRNA (ENSMEUG00000016966.1)". The record is from RNAcentral. Lineage: Eukaryota; Metazoa; Chordata; Mammalia; Diprotodontia; Macropodidae.